This is a non-coding RNA of Miniopterus natalensis, 2179 nucleotides long. Lineage: Eukaryota; Metazoa; Chordata; Mammalia; Chiroptera; Miniopteridae. The record is from RefSeq and is a predicted model, not a curated record.
CUGUAAAAUGGAGAGAGUGAUAUUUACCUUGACGUGCUGCUGUCAGGAUUAGAUAGAACACACCGAGGGAAGGGCAGGUACAGUCCCCAGUUUUCUUUUCAGUAACGCGAAUCACGGCAAAUGCUUCCCCAUCCAGGAAAACCUUCACAAUGUUCAUGAUCAGAUCACGAGCAGUUUUAGAAAAUACUUAAGCUUUGGCAUCAGGUAGGCUUGGGUGCAAAUACAGGCUCUGCUCCUGACCAGCUGUGUGACCCAGCCUCAGUUUUCUCAUAUGUGAAAUGGGGAUAAUUAUGCUUACCUUGCACCAAAUGGUGUUGAGAGCUCUUGAAGUGAUCUUUCCUGUUUGUCUGGAAUUGGGAAUUAGAUCCUAUGGCUGAGAGCAAAGGCAACGACUGCCCCUCAACCUAACACAGUGUCUCAGCAGAGGUUGUUUUGUCACCAGGGGACAUUUGGAAAUGCCUGGAGACAUCUUUGAUUGUCACACCUGGGGGUUGCUAUAGGUAUCUAGUGAGGAGAGGCCAGGAUGCUGCUAAACAUCUUCCAAGGCAAGUAUACUUCCCCCCACUGAGUACUCUGGCCCCAAAUAUCAACAGUGCAGACAGAGAUUGACAUUAACUGUGGCCUAAGAUCACAAAUCGUUCUUCAGGUUUAUAGUCUCAUCAAGAAAGAGAGAUAGAUUCUUCAUUCCCCUGUAUUUGUUGAGCCACCAGCUGACUUUAGUUGGAGAAAGAACAGUGAGGUAGUUGGCAGGGGUUGUGGCUCAAAGAGGGGCAAACGUGCCUCCUCAAAUUCCUGGUUCCCAAGGGGCAUGGUGGCAGACAGUGGACCCUGUCCAGGUCUACAGGCCUCGGCACUGGGCACAGAAGGGAGCUAAGAUUGGGCUGCAUGCUUGUUAGGGGCCACCCCAGUGCAGACAAAAAGGCCAUGUGUUAGAAAGACCCUCGACCUGGGGGUUGCCCAGAGGACAGAGCUGAGACUCACAAGACCAUGCGAGGCGUCUGAGGGCAGCUCGGGAUCAGUUCCUUCAUUAGCGGGGUCUGCCACAGCCUCCGCUGAGCUUGCAGACAAGGAGUCAGAUUGUGAGAGGUGAGCCACAGAAACCCGGUGGCCUCCUCUCAGCCACCACGGAUGCAGGGUUUUCAUGAAAGCGACCACUGUCCCUUUUGUUGAGAGAGAAUAGCCAACUCACCCUGGCCAGUCACAUGCAGAAGUGUCUUUUUUUCUAUCCUUCCUCCAGAACCGGAGCCAGAAUGGAAAAGCCAGGAGGAGGAAAGAUGCAGGAGACAGAAACGCACACGUCUCCAUUUCCCUCCUUCCUAGCUGUGGAACUCACAUUCCGGCUCAGGGAUGACACUGCUCACAGUGUGGCCCACAGGCCACACCUGGCCAGCACCUGAUUCUAGAAAGCUGGCCAACACCUGUACUAUUGGCUUGUUCUGGGAAUAGAGGAGAUGAUGCAUGUGAACAAACAGGCAUGGACUAAGCACCCACUAAAUCCCAGCCAUUCACAGUAUCAUUGAACCUAUCAGUGCUCAACGAAAAUAACAAUUACGAUAAUGCCUAACAUCUAAAGCUGAAGAAUUCUUCUUACCUCGUCUCAAAUACUCAAACAGCAAAGAUGUGCAAGAUGGAAAACUGUCGAAAUGCUCUCUCCAAGAAUUGAUUCAAAUCCUUCAGCCUAGAGCCUGGACCAGCAGCCUUUUGCGACCUCAUACCCCAGGACUCUCCCCUCUUACCGGCGGUGUGGGGAGGGAGGUGCUGUCUGUCCACAGUGGCCUCCCCUCUGCAGACACACAGCCAGUGCAGAAGACCACACCUGGAGGGAAGCGGUCCUGCUAUGGCUGCUGAUUUAGAAACGACCAUGCUGCCCCCAGAAAAGCAGAGCGACUUUUGCUACUUAUUGUCAGAACAAGUGAAACUGAGGGGAAAUCAUGAAGCACUUGUGGAUAGCCCGGGAAUAGCUGCCACACAUGGUUCCACCAAGUGGCCUCCAUGGCUGUGUGGGCCGCGCAAAGAGCAAAUUCCCACGUGAACUGUAACAAACAUUAAGGCAGCUCCACUGCUAAACAUCAUUUCUUGCUGAUGGAAUUAGAAAGCUUGUUAGUCUCUGGAAUAAACAUGCCCGAAUGUGCUGAAUGAAAACUAGCAUAUGGCUUGUUUCUUUGGAAUAAACAAUUUU